This 253-nucleotide ribosomal RNA is filed under the name uncultured bacterium. RNAcentral's name for it is "partial 16S ribosomal RNA". It matches the Rfam family "Bacterial small subunit ribosomal RNA", at positions 524 to 776 of the family's 1533-position model. The record is from RNAcentral.
UACGUAGGGUGCAAGCGUUGUCCGGAAUCAUUGGGCGUAAAGAGCUCGUAGGCGGUCUGCCGCGUCUGCUGUGAAAACCUGGGGCUUAACCCUGGGCUUGCAGUGGGUACGGGCAGACUAGAGUGCGGUAGGGGAGACUGGAAUUCCUGGUGUAGCGGUGGAAUGCGCAGAUAUCAGGAGGAACACCGAUGGCGAAGGCGGGUCUCUGGGCCGUUACUGACGCUGAGGAGCGAAAGCGUGGGGAGCGAACAGG